UGGCGACCAUAGCGUUUUGGACCCACCUGACUCCAUCCCGAACUCAGAAGUGAAAC
Molecule: ribosomal RNA, 56 nt
Filed under: Vibrio paracholerae 87395
Lineage: Bacteria; Pseudomonadati; Pseudomonadota; Gammaproteobacteria; Vibrionales; Vibrionaceae
Source: RNAcentral